CUGGCGGCAGGCCUAACACAUGCAAGUCGAGCGGUAACAGAAAGUAGCUUGCUACUUUGCUGACGAGCGGCGGACGGGUGAGUAAUGCUUGGGAACAUGCCUUGAGGUGGGGGACAACAGUUGGAAACGACUGCUAAUACCGCAUAAUGUCUACGGACCAAAGGGGGCUUCGGCUCUCGCCUUUAGAUUGGCCCAAGUGGGAUUAGCUAGUUGGUGAGGUAAUGGCUCACCAAGGCGACGAUCCCUAGCUGGUUUGAGAGGAUGAUCAGCCACACUGGGACUGAGACACGGCCCAGACUCCUACGGGAGGCAGCAGUGGGGAAUAUUGCACAAUGGGCGCAAGCCUGAUGCAGCCAUGCCGCGUGUGUGAAGAAGGCCUUCGGGUUGUAAAGCACUUUCAGUCAGGAGGAAAGCGUGGUGGUUAAUACCCAUCAUGUGUGACGUUACUGACAGAAGAAGCACCGGCUAACUCCGUGCCAGCAGCCGCGGUAAUACGGAGGGUGCGAGCGUUAAUCGGAAUUACUGGGCGUAAAGCGUACGCAGGCGGUUUGUUAAGCGAGAUGUGAAAGCCCCGGGCUCAACCUGGGAACUGCAUUUCGAACUGGCAAACUAGAGUGUGAUAGAGGGUGGUAGAAUUUCAGGUGUAGCGGUGAAAUGCGUAAAGAUCUGAAGGAAUACCGAUGGCGAAGGCAGCCACCUGGGUCAACACUGACCGCUCAUGUACGAAAGCGUGGGGAGCAAACGGGAUUAGAUACCCCGGUAAUCCACGCCGUAAACGAUGUCUACUAGAAG
RNAcentral lists this ribosomal RNA (792 nucleotides) under Pseudoalteromonas sp. TB 49. RNAcentral's name for it is "bacterial SSU rRNA". It matches the Rfam family "Bacterial small subunit ribosomal RNA", at positions 36 to 822 of the family's 1533-position model. Lineage: Bacteria; Pseudomonadati; Pseudomonadota; Gammaproteobacteria; Alteromonadales; Pseudoalteromonadaceae. The record is from RNAcentral.